This 24001-nucleotide long non-coding RNA is filed under the name Phoenix dactylifera (date palm). RNAcentral's name for it is "long non-coding RNA (PDAC_LNC004435)". The record is from RNAcentral. Lineage: Eukaryota; Viridiplantae; Streptophyta; Magnoliopsida; Arecales; Arecaceae.
CGAAUCAACCAUACGGCCGUUUACAGCAUAGGAUCGAGGUUCUUAAAAAUAACUUUGCCUGAAAUCGCCAGCAACCGACUUAUCUUAUCCAAAACAAAACUAGACAAAAGUAGAAGGUGCAUCAAAGAUUAUAGUGGGAAACUGUAGGAAUAACGACGCCCAGAAUAUCAGCACCAUGGAUUACCCAACCAAGGGGUCAGUGGAUAUGAAGCUAUACAUCACCAUGUCCCUAAUACUUCCUUUAAGAAUCGCAUACUUUCGGAGCACUCCCUCCUUAUGAAAGCCAACCUUCUGCAACACCCUCUGGGAUGCCUUGUUGUCCACGUCCACCAAGGCACUCACCCUCUCCAGUCCUUCCACCUCCUUAAAUAUGGAGCCCACCACCAGCCUCACCGCCGCCGUCACAAUCCCCUUCCCCCAGUACUCGGACCCCAGCACGUACCCGAGCUCGCCCCGGAACCGCUCCUCGCCGGAGCCCAAGCUGACGGAGAUGGCCCCCACGGGGCGGCCGCCGACGCAGAUAGAGCGGAACCAGGGGUGGGGCAGCACCGUCUCCUUCACGUACUUGAGGAGGUCAUCCUUGUUAGUGUAAGUGUCCCAGGUGCAGAAUUUGCUCACCUUGUCGUCGGAAGCCCACACCAUGAAAUCGUCCACGUCCGAGAGGACGAAAGGCCGGAGGGAGAUCUGCGGCGUCGCCUUCUCGCUUUCCUCCGUGUUCACCUCUCGUUCCAUUGUGGGUGAUUGCCGCACCAGAGGAGGACCUGUUUUUUUCUUUCCCAGGGACAAGUCUUCCUCAAGUUUUUAUGUGAUCCUCGGAAGCCUCCAUACGGUCCCCACUUCGGCAAGCCAGCCGCCUCGUUUGACGGUUUCUCUCGUCAUUAUCCUUCGGGGUGUCAUGUGCAUCCAACACGAUUUGACCUUACUCUCCCAAGGCCACUAUAGCCCUAAAUGGACCGGUUUGACCGAUGGCCGAAUCCAAAUCGGCCUAAUCAGAUUCGAUCCAACCUAAUUUAAAAAAUUCAUGAGACUGGAUUGGAUUCUAAAAUUGAAUCCGUUUUAUUUUCUGAGUCAAAUUUGGGUUUACUAAAUUCUAAUCCGGCCCGACCUCUUCUAUUUAAUUUUUAGAACAAUUUUGGAUUUUCUAUUCUACGACCCGACCUGUCCCGACCGAAUCCAAAAGGUAUAUGAGCUUAGAUUUGGGAUGACUACGUUUUAGUGUAAACUAGCCACCCUAUAAUGCAGUUUUUUAAGUAGAUUUCAGAAAAAAUUGGGAGGAAAAUAUUUGGCCAUUGAGCAACAUAAAGAAUAUAUAAACACAUCCCUCUCUCUCUCUAUAUAUACAUGUAUACUUAUAUAUCUAUACACAUAUGUACUUAUGUACAGUUUCGUUAUUCAUCAUUUCUCCUUCGUUGGUUGGGUUGGAAAGAAGCAUGCAUUCUUUUUUUUGAAGGAAACUCAUGAAGGUUCCUACAAUUUAAAACAAAAAGGAGAAAAAAAAGAUAAUCAAAGGAGUAAAAAAAUUGAACUAAUGAUAAUUAAUUACAAUUAUUAUGAUAAAAAAGGAUUAGUAUCAAAAAUAAAUUACUUAUCGUAGGUAAUGUAUUUUCUUAGGAGUUUUAUCUUUAAAAAGUUCGGUACAAAUGCAUUUCUUGGGAGUUGAAAUAAUAGCUCUCUUUGGAGCUUGAGAGGAAGAAAGUCCAUCACCAAAAGUCUGCCAUAGAUUAGGUGCUUGUAUUUUUUACAAAAUUCAAGAAAAAAGAAGAAGAAACGUAAUGUUACCAUUGUAUGGGAGGUUGAUCGUUUCUUCUAUAUUGGUCAUGACAGAAAUUAUUUUCAUGCAUUGAUUGUUGAGUGAACUAGGCGUUUGGAGAGACCAUAAGCUUUAAUUGUUGCGUAAGCUGAAUGUCUGGAGAGACCGUUCGUAUCGAUUGUUGGCAAGGACACGGCACGAUUCGUGGGAGAACACGAUAAUGGUGAUCUACCGCCCGGAUGCUUCCUAGUCGGAGGAGCCGCUUGGGCAUUUUCAAGCCCUUAAGUCGGGAUCCAUUCGGCCGCCCCUUGCUCGGGGGGGUGCCCGGUCGCCUCCUGCUCGGAGGGGGGCGCCCGAUCGCCUCCUGCUCGGAGGGGGCGCUCGGUCGCCUCUUGCUCGGAGGCUUGGUUGCCUCCUGCUCGGACACAAUUCUUUUUUCCCCCAACACUACCCCCCAACUUUCGAGCUCGAGCUGCUCGCAGGCUCGAGCGCGGGAAGUAGUUAAAGUGGAUUAAAGGGAGGAAUUUUGAAUUAUCGCGCGCUUCGAGACACUUUAAUGGGAGUAGGUGGACGACGUCCCUUCUUUUCCGAAGUGUCUCAUCAUUAGUACCUCCCGUUUUUCCAAAUAUUUUUGCGUUGUGAGCUCAUGAUGGGGCUACACGAUCCGACGAGGCGUCUCCUUCUCCAAAGCGUCGGUCCGAAUUGAAUGCUGCGCCUUAACUCCCUGGGUUGACACGUGUCGUGAUCUGGACAGGGAGGAGCGUUCUGCCGAGUGGAUCUGAGUCAUUGGAGGGGUCUAUAUAUAAACCCCUCCUUGGCAUCCUCGAUUUCUCUCCCAUUGUCUUCUUCUUCCUUCCAUCUCCUUCCUAGUCCGAAGCGGCCGAUCUUCCAUUACCUCCGACGAACUCCCACAUGUGUCCCUCUUUCAUCUGCUCGGAACCCCUUUUUUCUUCCCUCUUCCUCUUUCUUUUUCUUAAUGGGUCCUGGUCCGACUGAAAUCGGGUCCACGAUGAGUGAGUUAGAGGUUGAGAUGGUCGAGGAGUGGUUCUUUCCUCGGCGAGGGUUCCGUUUGGAACCCGCUGGGUUGGGGGAUCGGGUAACGAACCCCCCCUAAGGUCGGAUCGGAGUGUAUUUGGAGGUACUCUGGGCCGGCCUACACUUUCCCUUCCAUGGGUUCCUGAACGAGUUGCUCGGGGAGUACCAACUCGUCUCGGCGCAACUUGCUCCAAACGCAUGGAGGACGAUCAUCGGGUUCCUGUCGUUGUGCAUAGCGUACGAGAUCCCGUCUUUCGUGAAUGUCUUCCGGCGGCUCUUCAUGUUGAAGUCCAGCCCGGGAGACGGGGAGUGGCUUUAUAUCGCCCUUCGGGCGGGUCGGCCGCUCUUCCAGGACGCUCCGAUGUCUAUUCACGCCUGGAAGAAAAAGUUCUUUUUGGGUUCCGAGCGAUCGUGGGGGUUUGACCCUAGGUGGAGGCAGAGCCGGCUCAGAUCCGCCAACAAACUCCCCAGGCUUUCUGUACGCAAGCAGGGGAUCCUUAACACCGUUCGCGGCCUCGGGGAUGGUAUUCUUCUGAGCGGCCUCGUGAGCGAGGACGCUCUGGUCAAUGUCGGUCUGAGCUUGGCGCGUCCUCAGGAUAAGGAUAGUAAUAGAAAGGUUUCCUUUUUCUUUUUCUCCGUAAUAUUUUGCGAAUUUAUCUUGCUCGUCCUUGCAGACAUUGCGAAGAUGGUGACCAAGAGCGAAGUUUUGUACGCUCGGUUCCGAAAGAGGGCUGCCGAGCUCGGAGGAGAACCGCUCGAGCCCAAGAAGAAGGCAAAGGUCUCGGCUGACGGGGCCGCCGAGAAGAGCGCCCUCUGGAUCGGGUCCUCUGAAGCUGCUCGGAGGGAAGGCUCGAGCUCCGAGCCCGGGAGCUCAGCGGGAACUGCUAUGGCGCUUGCAUGCCCGGCGCCAAUCUCGCAAGUCCCCCCUCAGCCGCCCCUCCGACCCGAAUGCCCGGCAUCCGAGCCGGGCAGCAGCCGAGGGGCUGUGAGGCCGCCCUCGCCGAAGGCGACAAGGCCCAGCCUCUCCGACUGCCGAAGAAUGAGGGCCAACAAGAGAGGCGGCCCUACGCUCCGGAAUGGACGGUGUGCGAGGGCGACUCAGCCCUCAAGAAUGUUGAGACGACCCGGCAGAUCUUCCGCGUUGCGCUCCUUCCAGCCGAUAGGGCAAAAAUUCAGGCUAUGAGCCUGAAUAAUUUUUUGGAGUCAACUCGCCUCUCCGCUAUUCGGGUAGGUCUUCAUUAUUUGCUGUUAUUUAUUCCUUACACUUUUAGGUUUUAUACCGUAAUUUUAUCCUCGGCCUAAUUUCUAUCUUGGUUGCAGCACCUCCACGAAAUCGAGACACUGAUCGCGCUCGGGGCAGAUUACAAAGAACGAGCUCGUCGGAGUUCUCGGGCACUAGAAGAGGCCGACAGAAGGCUGGUGGAGCUCGAGCUCCACAAGAAGGCUGACAGAAGGAGCUCUUGCUUCGAGUGGGCGCCACUGAGGACGAAGUCAAGCUCCUAUCCAUGGCGCUCGAGGAGGAGAAGGCCGCUCAUACUCUGGCUAGAUCAGAGUUGCGGGCCGCCGAGGCUCGUCUGGCCGAGGCGCAAUCUCUGCUCGCCAUCCGCGAGCAGAGAGUAAAGGAAGCGGAGCAGAAGGCCGAGCAGCUCGAAGCACGGGAGAAAGAGGCCCAGGAGCGGGCUCAGAAUGCCGUCCGGCUCUUUCGAGAAUCGAAAGAGUUUCAAGAGCUGCUCGAGGAGGAAGCCGUAAACGGCCUUAUCCAAGGGUUCAACGAUUUCCGCAAUCAACUGUGCCAGCUCUGCCCCGAUUUUGAUCUCAAUCUACUUCAGCCCGGAGCUGGAGUCGAAGGCCUCGGGGCGAGGUCGGACGAGACGACCGGAGAGGCAGCUCCGGAGGCUCCCACGGAAGAAGCUGCUCGGGGAACCGCUCCCGAGGUCGCGGCUGAAAGCUCCGAAGGCGGUGAGGUUGGGGCUACUGCCGAAGGGGAUCCGGCGGUCGAAGUCAUCGAGGGCAUCGAAGUCGAGCCCGGGGAGAUCUCGGCUGGAGAUGCCACGGCAGCCACCUCUUAAAACUUUGUACUUUUUCUUUCCCUUUUCGUAACAAGAGGUCGGCCCUUGUCUACCGCACGGCCGAGCCUUAAUUUUGUACUUGGCCUCCGGGCUUUUGAAUGGAAAUAUUCCUUUUCAACUUUCGUUCUUUCAAUUCCUUUGUAGUUCACUUUUUAGCUAACGCUUCUCCAAGACUCUGCUGCUCAGGUUUUCGAGCUGCUAAGGCACUUUAGACCGAAAAAAUGCCCGAGCUUGCCAAGCUCCUAAGCUUGAGCCGCAGUUUCGCGGUCGUAGAGCUUGGGGCCCCAGCUGCGGGGCGCCGUGCUCUAAUCAUCUUAUUAGAUAACUAGCUUGUGGCCCAAAUCGUUGAACCCCCCGAGCUCGGGAUUAAAUUUCACCGAGCAGCCGAAAAACCGAACUAGGGUUCAUGCGGGCGUGUUCGACUAGAUUUCAGCUCGUAAUCGGCUCGGCGGAGGACCCUGAUAUUGGCCGGGAUUUUCAUUUACAUAUCCAACAUAAGAAUGAAUGGAAUGUGCGUAUCGAAUAAGGCAGGCGCCGAUCAGAGCGUACCUUCUCGGGGUUAUAUGCCCCAUGCCGUGAAUUGUUCUUAGUGGUACCUCAGCUUGUCAUAGAGGACGACCCCAAGCUUAAUCCGAAGCAUGGGGUCGUAACCCUUUGAGCUCGUACAUGAAGCUGUCGCAGGCUUCAAGGCGCCCAGAUCUCGAUCGAGGUAUCUGACAUCGGAACCAAGCCUCGAUAGUCGAUGGAGAUCGAGCCGAGCUCGAUGGUUGAUGGAGAUUGAGCCGAGCUAGACGGUCGAUGGAGAUCGAGCCGAGCUUGAUGGUCGACGGAGAUCGAGCCGAGUUCGAUAGAUGGAGAUCGAGCCGAGCUCGAUAGCUGAUGGAGAUCGAGCCGAGCUCGGUAGAUGGAGAUCGAGCCGAGCUCGAUGGUCGAUGGAGAUCGAGCCGAGCUCGAUGGAUGAUGGAGAUCGAUGGCUGCAUCUCGAACUUUUGGAUGAUCGCGAACAUUUAUUUCCGGAGGGGAUCGCGAGGGUACUAUCCCAUCAUCCCGAUAUCGAGGGGUUUGGGUACGCACUGUCGACACUUGGGGCAUCCCGACCUUAGUCGAGGAGGCGCAUAUUGGGGACCGCGAAGGUACUACCCCGUCUUUCCGAAGUGUCGAGGGGUCUGGGCACGCACUGUCGACACUUGGGGCAUCCCGACCUCAGUCGAGGUACUUAAUGGAGAUCGAGCCGAGCUCGAUGGUCGGUGGAGAUCAAGCCGAGCUCGAUGGCUGCAUCUCGGACUUCUGGCCGAGGCGUCUAGCGUCGUCCGGCAUUAAUUAUAGUAUCCUAGCAGGAUCGCAUAUCAGGUUGUCUAAAGAUUACGAAACUUCCUAUUAGGACGAACGCGAUCAUAAAUGAAGAAUAGCAAAAAUCACUGAAGAAGAUAAAACUUAUGCUCAGAACAGAGAAACCCUCGGGGCCCUAUUGAUGAUACACUCGGAGGUUUUCGAAACUCCAACUUCGUGGAAUGGGGAUCCCUUCGAGGGAUUCGAGCUUGUACGCUCCGGGUCGUUGGACGCGCGCGACCCGAUAGGGUCCUUCCCAAUUUGGGGCCAACUUCCCUUGCUCGGCCAGCUGGGAGGCUUCAGCUCUUCUAAGGACGAGGUCUCCCACUUUGAAGGAUUUGAAUUUGACCCUGGCGUUGUAGUAUUGCGCCACCUUUUGCUGGUAUCUCGCCAUGCGGACCUGGGCGGCUUUCCUUGUCUUCUCGAUGAGAUCCAGGUUGCUCCUGAGCUGCGUAGCACUGGAGUCGGCAUCAUAACAUUCUACCCUUGGAGAAGGGAGUCCGAUUUCCAACAGGAUGACGGCCUCCGUUCCGUACGUUAAGUUGAAGGGAGUCUCGCCGAUGGGUACGCGGAUUGUGGUCCGAUAAGCCACAAGACGUUGUAUAGGUCUUCGACCCACUGCCCUUUGGACUGAUCGAGCCUGGUUUUGAGUCCCUGCAAAAUAGUAUGAUUCGUUAUCUUGGUUUCUCCAUUUGCCUGAGGAUGUGCAACCGAGGUGAAACGGUGGUCGAUGCCGAGCUCCGAGCAGAAUUCUCUAAAAUGAGCGUUGUCGAACUGGCGGCCGUUAUCUGAUAUGAGGAUGUGGGGGAGCCCGAAUCUACAAAUUAUGAACUUCCAAAUGAAGUCCUGCAUCUUCUGCUCGGUGAUCCGGGCCACUGGAUCGGCCUCGACCCACUUCGUGAAGUAAUCAAUGGAGACGAUCAGAAAUUUCCUCUGCCCAGUCGCCAAGGGGAACGGUCCCAGGAUAUCGAUUUCCCCAUUGAGCGAAUGGCCAGGGAGAGCUGAUUGAAGUCAAGGGGGCUGAGGGUCGGCGCUGGAUGUUGGCAUUCCUCUGGCACCGGUCGCAUCUCCGAACAAAAUCCAGCGUAUCCUUCUGGAGUGUUGGCCAAUAGUAUCCCUGGCGCAAAAUUUUGUAUGCCAGUGCUCGGCUUCCCAAAUGGUUUCCGCAGAUGCCUUCGUGGACUUCGCGCAUUGCGUAAUCCGCCUCCGACGGGUAGAGACAUCUGAGAAGGGGAGAGGUAAAGGAUCUCCUGUAGAGCUUGCCUUCAUACAGUAUGUAUCUCGAGGCUAUGCGCUUGACUCGACGAGCCUCACGCUCAUCGUUGGAAAGAACUCCAUUCUGUAGGUAGCUAACGAGCUCAUCCAUCCAGCUUGGCUCAACGUCGAUACAAAGAGCCGGUUCGGGCUCCUCUGUGCUGGGAAUCUGGAGGUACUCCAGUGCUGCCGCUUUUGGGAGCUCGCUUAUGCGGGAGGACGCCAAUUUUGAUAAUUGGUCGGCUCUGAGAUUCUCCGACCUAGCAAUAUGUUGAAUGUGGAAGGAACCCAGAGUCAAAGUGAGGUGCCGCACCUUCUGGAGAUAUUUUUGCAUUGUCGGCUCCCUUGCUUCGAAGUCCCCCAAAAUUUGGCUUACAACCAAUUGGGAGUCACUGAAGGCCUCCAAGUUCUCGACCUUCAGCUCUCUAGCCAGCUUAAGCCCGACUAUGAGCGCUUCGUAUUCCGCCACAUUAUUAGAGAAGAAAAACUCGAGGCGUAAAGCCUGCUCGGCGACCACUUCAUCUGGACUGGUGAGAAUGAGGCCCGCUCCGCUACCCCCCGAGUUCGAAGAACCAUCGACGUGCAGAGUCCACGUCGACCUCGGGGUCUACUCUGCUGGCGCGGGUUCGAGCUCGGCCUCGUCUGGCACAGUGCACUCGACUAUAAAAUCGGCGAGUGCCUGCGCCUUGAUCGCCGGUCUGGGUCGGUACUCGAGGUCGAACUCCCCGAGCUCGAUGGCCCACUUUGUAACUCGGCCAGCGCGAUCUGAUCGCUGCAGGAUCUGCUUUAUUGGCUGGUCGGUCAACACGGCUACCGUGUGAGCUUGAAAGUAAGGCCUGAGCCUUCGAGCUGAGACGACCAGGGCGAAGACGGUCUUUUCCAGCUUGGAGUAUCGGGUCUCAGCAUCUCUCAAAACCCAGCUGGUGUAGUAUACUGGCUUUUGAAGCUUGCUCUCCUCUCGAACCAGGACCGAGCUCACUGCUAUGGGAGAAACGGCUAAGUAUAGGUAGAGGAGCUCGCCCUGCUGAGGCUUCGUAAGCAGCGGAGGAGUGGCGAGAAGGCACUUGAGCUCUUCGAAGGUUUGCUGGCAUUCUGCCGACCAUAAAAAGUUCUUUGGCUUUUUGAGAGCCGCAAAGAAUGAAAGGCAGCGCUCGGCCGAUCGGGAGACGAAUCUUCCGAGAGCUGCAACUCGGCCUGUAAGCCGUUGCACUUCUUUGACUGUCCUUGGGGGCGUCAUCUCUUGGAGCGCUCGGAUAUUCUCAGGAUUGGCCUCGAUUCCCCGCUGUAUAAUUACAAAGCCAAGAAACUUGCCCGAGGUGACUCUGAACGCACAUUUGGCAGGAUUGAGCUUCAUCCGGUACCUUCGGAGCGUAGAGAAUGCCUCGUUGAGGUCGGUCACAUGAUCUUGCGCCAUGCGGCUUUUCACCAACAUAUCAUCAACAUAGACCUCCAUGUUUCGCCUAUUUGAUCUUUAAAAAUUUGGCUAACCAGCCGCUGAUAAGUCGCUCCAGCAUUCUUUAGGUCGAAAGGCAUUACUAUGUAGCAGUAGGUGCCCCCGUCAGUGAUGAAGGCUGUCUUCUCUUCAUCCUCCGGCGCCAUCCGAAUCUGGUUGUACCUUGAGAAUGCGUCCAUGAAAGACAGUAGCUCGUGCCCCGAGGUGGAAUCCACAAGCUGGUCGAUGCUAGGAAGUGGGAAGCUAUCUUUUGGGCAGGCCUUGUUCAGGUCGGUGUAGUCCACACACAUGCGCCAUUUUCUGCUAGCCUUUCUGACAAGGACCACAUUGGCGAGCCACUCCGGAUAAGAUAUCUCCCGGAUGAAGCCGGUCUCGAGAAACUUGUCGACUUCCUCGGCUGCUGCUCAUUGUCGCUCUGGAGCAGCACUUCGCUUCUUCUGUCGUACAGCCUUACAGGUUGGCUUCACUUGGAGUCGGUGGACCGCGACCUCCGGAUCUAUUUCCGGCAUAUCGGCGGACGACCAGGCGAAGACGUCCAUGUUGUUCCGCAGGAAGCUGACAAGACGAUCUCUCUCGCGAGCAUCGAGGCCGAAGCCAACCUGCACGGUUAGCUUGGAAAAAUUCUCUUGUAAAGGGAUUUGGAUAAGCAGCUCACCAGGCUCUACCCGCUUCUUCUGAGGGCCAACCCGUGCCUCUAAGGUUUCGGCCGGGAGCUUGCCAUCUGGUGUCGGAACCGAUACUUUGGCUGGUUGCUUUGCCUCGUGGGUCGCCAUGUAGCAUCGCCUUGCUACCGCCUGGUCUCUACGAACUUCGCCGACUCCUUGGCUGGUGGGGAAUCGCAUAAGCAGGUGGCAGGUUGAGACCACGGCUCGAAGAGCGUUGAGCCCAGAUCGUCCGAGGAUGGCGUUAUAGGCCGAGGGCAGACGUACUAUGAGGAAAUCCAUCCUCACAGUACUUUCUCGGGGAGCGAGCCCAACCGUAACCAGGAGAUCGAUCUCGCCCUCUACCGGAACUGAGUCCCCAGUAAAUCCAACCAGCGGGGCAUUCAUCCUCCAUAAUUGUUUCUCCAUCAUCCCCAUUCUAGAAUAGGCGUCAAAAUACAAAACAUUCGCCGAGCUUCUAUUAUCAACUAGAACACGUUUUACAUCAAACUUGUUCACAACCAUAGAGAUGACCACAGCAUCGUCAUGGGGGGUUUCAACUUCCUCCAAGUCCUCAUCCGAGAACGAGAUAGUUUCGGAGGCGCGCAGGCGCUUCGGGGCGGUUCCUUCCUCUGCAGCUCGUCCGACCGAGGUUCUGCCUCGGAUGGUGUUAAUGGUUCCGGCGAUGGGUCUGUUGGCAUUUGGAUCUUCCGGCUGUGCGGUAUCCUCCGCUGGCCUUUUCUCUUCACGCCGGUUCCAUACGAACCGGUCGAGCACUCCUUGGCGGAUGAGUGCCUCGAUCUCGUCCUGGAGCUGGAAGCAGUCUUCCGUAUCAUGGCCGUAGUCCCGGUGGAAGCGGCAGUACUUCCGGAGAUUGCGCCAAGCUCCGGGAUCCCGCCUCGGGGGCGGAGGCUGGAAGUACUCUCGGCCUUCGAUCUCCAUGAGGAUCUCGGUCCAAGGAGCAUUAAGGGGAGUGUAAUUUUCGUACCUCCCAUUGGAUAUGCGGGGCCGCGGUGGAGAUCUCGAACGGGACGGGGAUCCUGGUCGGAGAGGUCCCCGCAGCCUAGGUGGACUCUUCAGACGAGGCGGGUUCUUGGCUCGGCGCAGAGAUGGGCUUCUGGGACGGCCGCGCUCCUCACGAUGCCUCUUUUGCUUUUUGGAGGUCUGCUCGGCCCCACCCCGCCUAGAAGCUACGGCUUCCUCGGCCUUUGCGUACUUCCGCGCCCAGACUAGCAUUUCGGUGAAGUCAGCUGGGAAAUUCUUCUCGAUGGAGAAGAGAAACCUAUAAGACCGAGCUCCAGUCUUGAGUGCCGACAUGGCGAUUGACUGGUCGAGCUCGCGGACCUCUCACGUUGCAGCAGUGAAACGGUCCAGAUAUUUCCUAAGCGACUCUCCCUCCCUUUGCUUUAUAUCGAGGAGGGAGUCUGAAGUCCGCCGCUGGAGUUGGCUGGCAGCAAAGUUGGUAGCGAACUGCCUGCCGAGCUGCUCGAAAGAGGAGACCGUGCUCGGUUUCAGCCCGGCAAACCAGAGCCGAGCUGCUCCUCGAAGCGUUGCUGGGAAAGCCUUGCAGAGCAUGGCCUCCGAGGAUCUUUGCAAUGCCAUCAGGGCCCGGUAACUCUCCAGGUGGUCGAAGGGGUCGGUCGUGCCGUUGUAGGGCUCCACCUGGGGCAUCUUGAACCUUGGCGGGACUGGCUCAUCCUCGAUUUGUUGGGAGAAAGGGGACUUCGUGGUAAACUCGAAGUCGACCUCGCAUCUCGCCCUCCUGCCGUGGAGUGCCUCGAUUUGGCGCUCCAGCUUCUCGACUUUCUUGUCGAGUUCGUCACCCUGGGGGGCCGCCACGGUGGUCUGCUCGGGCACAGGUUGCCCUGGGACUGACUCGAUCUCUGACGAUUGUGGCCAAUCGCCUGAACCCCUCACUUGGGGUUCUCUCCAGGAGGAUGGUCGGGCGUGGGGAUCUUGACCUUGGGGGGCCGGUCCACUAGGAGGGGGCACCGGUUGAACCGGAGCCUGAGGAAGUGGCGCCGUCGGGACGCCCCUAGGUGGCAGGCCUUGGACGGCAGCAGCCAAGGCCUGAACCUGCUGCACCAAGGUAUCGAACUGUUCCGGUCGAACUUGAGGAGCCGAAUCGGCCGGAGAUGGUGAGUUCUGGACAGAGUGUCCAGGACUAGGUGGAAGACGUCGGGAGGCAUUAGAGGCUCCCUUGCUUCUCAGCUUCAUGGCCGCGACUCGGUCCCCUUCCUCUAGCAUCAACUGUUGCUGGAAUUCGGACCCGGGGGCGACCACUGGGCCGGGAAGGAGGAGCUCCGGGAAAGCUUGGCGAACGGCGGCGAUCCGGCGAUGUGCGGCGUCCUCCGGGAGACCUGCAAGAAGCCGGUGGCCGGGUUUUUCCGGCGCCGGACCUCCGAUGCUUAAUUCAGAGAGAUGGCCCAAAGACAUGCAAGAGAGGAGCUCGAGUCUAAGAGUCCCCCUUUCCCCCCUCAGGAAUUUCUUAUUUAUAGGGGGAACGGGUUUACCUGUGAUGGGACAGAGCGGAAGUACUGCCGUAUAGUUGGACGUACAGUGGAAGUUAAUGCUUGAUCGUGUAAAUCAAUGUUGUCCUCGUAGGAGAUCAGGCCGAAGUCUUUGAAUUACUACGGAACCAUGCUGUCGUUUAUAGCCAAACAGGUUUGCCGUGUGGAGCUAAGCAUUCAUAGACAACAGGAGCCAUGCACCUUAAUUGUUGAGUGAGCCACAUGAGCCACAUGCCAGCAGAGGUUACAUGCAUUGAUUGUUGAGUGAACUAGGUGUUUGGAGAGACCAUAAGCUUUAAUUGUUGCGUAAGCUGAAUGUCUGGAGAGACCGUUCGUAUCGAUUGUUGGCAAGGACACGGCACGAUUUGUGGGAGAACACGAUAAUGGUGAUCUACCGCCCGGAUGCUUCCUAGUCGGAGGAGCCGCUUGGGCAUUUUCAAGCCCUUGAGUCGGGAUCUAUUCAGCCGCCCCUUGCUCCGGGGGGGGGGGGCGCCCGGUCGCCUCCUGCUCGAAGGGGGGCGCCCGGUCGCCUCCUGCUCGAAGGUCGCCUUCUGCUCGGAGGGAGGCUUGGUCGCCUCCUGCUUGGAGCGAGGCUUGGUCGCCUUCUCCUCGGAGGCUUGGUUACCUCCUGCUCGGACACAAUCCUUUUUCCCCCAAUAAUUUCCUUGUCUGAUCAAAUUAUUUGGUUUCUUGUCAGACCAUUUUUGACAGAUUUCUCAUCUUCAAUGUUGGAUUCUCUCUGCUAUGGACCCUGGCUUUUAGGGCUUCACAUUUUAAUUGUCUCAUGUUCAGAAAUUGAUGCUACUCUUUGGUUCCCAGCAUAGUUUUGAGUGACUUCAUGAAUGCUGCAAAGUUUUCUUUCCUUGUCUCCUCACUCUGUUUUAUUGUUAAUUUCAAAACUGGGUUUCUGAUUUACAGAAUUAGGAUCCUGACUGUGCCAGUUGCUAGAGGAAGAAUUUGUGACCAGCUUCAUGCAUGUAAGCCUCUACCUUAUUUAAUUGCAAACAGAUCUGCUUCCUGUGCCAGAUUUUAGCAUUGACCUUUGUGCUUCUCUCAUGAGAAGGCCUGAAUAUCUUAUAGUGCGACUGACUUUAGUUUAAAUUUCUGGCAAUGGAGUUAUUGAUUAAAUGCAUCAAUGUCUUUAGUUCAGUGUGUGAUUCCAAAGUCCCAAAUUUGCAAACUUCACCAUAGGCCAAUAUAAGCCUAUCCCCGGAUCAGUAUCGAUCGUAGAGAUCGAGUAUUGAUGUUUUAAGCCAAUGUGCUAUGAUACCAGAUCUCCAAUGCACUGCAGAACUCUAACUAAAGCACUGGAUGGGACUCAUGAGAUGGCGUCAUCUGCUGCUGCAGUUGCCUGCUUCUGAUCAUGAUCACCCAAGAUGGUUCCCGAUAAGCAUGCUAAGGCCGUGAUGGUUCCCGAUAUGCAUCCCGGUAAUCAUAGCGACACUAGUCCAGGACCUCUACUGAGGUCGAUCCGGGUCGAUAAUGAAAACAUCUGGGACCUCUUGCUAGGUCAAUUGAAUCAUGCAAAGAGAGAGAAAUAAGAGAGAGAAAACUAGGAGAGAGGAGAGUGAAAGAAGAGAGAGAGAGAAAACUCUUUUUCCUUCUCAAAAUAGGGGGAGAGCCCGAUCUCACCCUCAUCUUCUCGGAAUAGGAGGGGGUGUGACAGCCCAAGGUGGUCGAGCUCCGGCGAUAGCGGCCUUCAGCUGCGGCACCAUCGGCGACGGUGGUCGACCGACACGAAGAAGGAAAGAAAAGAGAAAGAAGAUCAUCAAAGAACUCUUCAAACUCGGCAUGAACCAUGGAUAACUCCCAAACCGAUAGUCAUAUGCUCUUAGGGGUCUUAGAUGGUGGCAAAACUUGGCCAAAUCUGGCGGCCGGUGGAGGCAAAACUUGGAAGAAAGAAUCGCCAAAAUAGUGUACCCUUAUUUCGAAUGGAUCUCGGUGACUUGUCGGCUUAAUUCAACAUGGCAACAACUCUAAAACUAGAAAAAAAAAGGAGGAGGAGGCAAAGAGCUCUCACUUCGGUCCGGCGAAGAUCCGACGAGGUUUUCGAUGAGGAAUCAAGGAGGAUACUCUAAGAGGAAGACUUGAAAUCGGCACCCAUUCUUGGGUCUUCGUCGAUGGAGCUAGGAGGAAGGAGCCUUAAAAAAAAAGUCUAUAAGGUUUUUGGCCGGUCUUUAGGUUGUUCUAGGACCCCCGGAGCUCGUCGGAGUCAUGGGAGGAAAAAGACUCCUAAUCGGAGUCUUCUUCUCCAUCGCGUGCAACAAGCUAAUUGAGCCUAGCCUCUUUGAUUGAGCCCGCCCACAAGUUGGGCUGGGCGCACCAGAUCAGGCUGAGCCGGGCCAUUUGGAGCCGACCCAGUAGCUCCAUUUUUGUUUGUUAUUACAAAUGAUGAGAAAAAAAUUCGGUUCAGCUGACAACGACAAAAUUCGUUGUGUGUUAGCCACUUCAAUUAAAUUUUGUAAUGUACGUUUUUUCGGAAUUAUAAUUCUCGAGCAUUCAAGCGACCACAGGAAACGCUGCAUGUUUCAAACCAUCAACACCGAUUGGAAACCACUGCAACGCCCAUAGAUUAAAGUUCCCCUCCACUAUAAAAGAGACCUGUUCGUCUUCCUUCUUCGCCCGCCACUCUCUUCCUCGGGCCUCAUGAGCUUUUUCUUCUUCCUGCAUGACGUUCUUCUGCCUUCUAAUCCUCACCUUCUCAGCUAUCCCUUCUUGAUCUUUUAGGGCUCAUAUAAAAAGCCGUCCCAUCCGCUCCCUCCCUCGCCACUUUCUCCUUGUCAUCCUUACUACUCUCUCUCUUUCUCUCUCUCUCUCUCUCUCUCCCUCCCUCCCUCCCUCCAUCCUAUGAAAAGAAAUCCUUUAUAACUCUGAUUGUCCUUGGUCUCUACCUCUAAUGGAGGAGCAAAGACUCCUAAAACGCUCCGUCUCUAAUGGAUGGAGGUUGAGUUUUCACAGACCACUUUUUCCUCUUCAAUCCAACUGUUCUCGAAAACUGAAGACUAACCGAAUAUGGCCUCCAGAAAUGGAAGACUGAUCGAACAUGGUCGGUCUUAUGUUAUGCAUGCCCAGUGGAAUGAUGCAUAACAGUCAUCUGUUAUGCAUCAUGCUGACCAUGCAGGGGGAUGUUGCUAGCAGCAGCCACGAAGCAUGGUAUAUGUGUUUUUCGUGGAGAUGGCCACCCUAGUAAUAGUUCUUCUGCAGUUCCAGUCUCAUGGUGAUAAAGGAGCACCAAAAGUUACCUUGUCCAUCUCAGUUGAAACGGAGUUUCGGACAGAAGUUGAUGGUGGAUGAUAGGUUAUGCUUGCCAUUGCCUUCCCGUUUUUCUGCCCUUUGAUUUUGAGGAGGCUUGUUUAUCUUGUGGUAUAUAUUCUGCAGUCGAACACGAAUGGCAUCCUAUUAAAAGUUUCUCUGACUAUGUACUUGUUGAAGGUUGAUAGCAAUGGUACAAGAGAAAUUGUGAGAAGAGCUGGAGCAUUUGUCUUAUCGUGUGAAACGGGUUUUGAUUUGUAAAUUCUCUGAUUUUUUAAAUGGAUAUGGAGUCAAAAUCCUGAAUGCCUACGUUUGACCUGUGGAGAGAAUUUAAGGAGAUGGGGGCCUAUGAUGAGAGGGAGCUUCAUCUUCGUGAGUCAAUUGCACACAUUUUGUCAUGAAUCGGAAGAGUGAAUUUACUGAUCCUCUGCUGCUUAGCACCUUGUUAGACUCCUAAUACCAAUUGUUAGACUCUUCAAAUCAAUUUAAUUUGAGUUUGCUAAAUGCUAACGAAGGUUAUGCUGCCGACUGCCUUACAACAUAAAAAGUGAAAAAAGCUUCAUGAUGACAAACAAAUUAUGCGAAGAGCUUCCCAAGACAGACUGCAGAUUUUUUGAGUUCUUAUUGGUUCUGCACGCUUGCGUCGUUUGGAAGCACCGAACUUCCCAAUGGCCGCCGCCCAGAACCGUCCGUCCUCCCCCUCGACGGACGCGUGGCCAUCGUCACAGGCGCCUCCCUCGGCGCCCGCCUAGUCCUCAACUACGCCUCCUCCUCCUCCUCCUCCUCCUCCUCCUCCCACGCACGGAGCUUAAUUCUUCCUCCUCCUCCGCUCCUCGAACCGUUGCCGUCCGCGCCGACGUCUCCGACCCUGCCAACGUCAAGUCCCUCUUCGACCGGGCCGACUCCUUCUUCGGCACCGCGCCCCACACCCUCAUCGCGUGCGCCGGCGUGUUCGACUCCAAGUCUCCAAGUAUCCCUCCCUCGCCGACACCACCGUCGAGGACUGGGACGCCAUCUUCUCCGUCAACGCCCGCGGCGCCUUCCUCUGCUGCCGCGAGGCAGCCAAUCGACUCCAGCGGGGUGCCGGCGGGCGGAUCAUCACGGUGUCAUCGUCGCUGGUGGGGGCGCUGAGGCCGGGGUGCGCGGCGUACACGGCGUCGAAGGCGGCGGUGGAGGCGUUGACGGAGAAGAUGGAGCUGAAGGGAACGGGGAUCACGGCCAAUUGUGUGGCGCCAGGGCCGGUGGCGACGGAGCUCUUCUUCGCCGGGAAGAGCGAGGAGGCGGUGAGGAAGGUGGUGGAGGAGUGCCCGCUGGGGCGGCUGGGGGAGACCAAAGACAUCGCACGGGUCGUGGGCUUCCUCGCUACGGACGCCGCCGAGUGGGUUAACGGCCAGGAUGUCCGCAUAGUUUGUUCUGUUAUUUGUUCCAUACCGACUUGGUCCGCAUAGUUUCUUCUAUGUUUUGUUCUGGUCCGCAUAGUUUGUGGAAUCCGACCGCGUAGUUCAUUCUAUACGGAAUCCGACCGCGUAGUUCAUUCUAUGCGGAAUCCGUCCGCGUAGUUCAUUCUAUGCGGAACACGUCCGCGUAGUCCCCCUAUGCGGAAUCCGUCCGCAUAAUUUCUAACAUGCGGAACCGGUCCGCAUAAUUGAUACUAUGAGGAACGGUCCGCAUAAUAGGUACUAUGCGGAAUGUGGCCGCGUAGUUUUGUCUAUGCGGAACCUCACCGCGUAGUUUAUUCCAUGCGGAACGUCACCGCAUAGUUUAUUCCAUGCGGAACGUAUCGUAAGAUUUGUUCAAUGCGGAAUCUGUCCGCAUAAUUGUAUCUAUGCGCAACGUGUCCGAAUAGCAUAUUCCAUGCGGAAUCUGUCCCGCAUUAAUUGCCAUUAUGCGGAUCCUGUCCGCAUAAUUGCAUCAAUGCGGGACCAGUCCGUGUGGUUGCUUCUAUGCGGAAACUGUCCGCAGAAGUUCCACUAUGCUGAUGCGGUCCGCAUAAUUUCCACUAUGCGAAACAUCUCAUAGUUUCUUCAGCGCGUCCACAUAGAGAAAUCUAUACGGAAACUGUCCGCAUAAAUUCCACUAUGCGGAACAGUCCGCAUAAUUGCUCUAUGAUGAACCUGUUCGCACAAUUUCUUCUAUGCGGAAUGUAUCCGCAUAGUUUCUCCUAUGCGGACGGGCCUACAUAGUUUCUUCAAUGCUCCGUUCUAUGCGGAUAGAGCAUGUCCGUUCUAGGGGAAAGAUGUCUGCACAGUCUGUUCUAUGCGGUAGCUGGCCGUAACCCAUGGAAAAAACCAGAAGGGAAAGCAUGCAACUCUAGGAAGUAAGCAUUCUUAAAAGGUAUCAUUGUUAGAAUUUAUUAUCUAUAAUUCUUUAACUUAAAAGCUAAAAAUCUGGCAUGUUUUUAAGUCCAUUUUGCAUUAGAGCUUUUACAUAAUAAUUCAAGACUUAAUACAAUUAAAAUUUGCUCAAAAAAGGAUGACACCAUUCUGCUACCGAGAAGAAAACCACCUCAUCUGCCUCAUCUCACAACCAAUUUGAGCAAUUGGAUGAUGGAGAAGGAAACAAAUAACUUCAGAUCUUGCCACGAGAAAACCUGAGAAAGGGUACCAUUAAGGUAAAUCGAAUGAUUUGAUGUGGGAGUGGUGCUGAUUGGAAGCACCAAUGGAUGACUUUCUCAAUAAAGUAGCUUGAAGAAAUCACCAUCCAUCAGCAAAGUGGGUAUCACUGAGCCCUGUAUCGACCAACUCAUAGACCCAUUGCCAAACACUGAACCAGCUCAUCAGCAGCACAAAAGGCUGGAUAGGAUGAAUGAAUGAUACCGCUUUACAUACAGUUUAUAGAUAAGCUAAAUCAAUAAAUAAAUUAAAAUCGCAUUGUGAUUUUUUAAUAAGAAACUCUCCUUCCAAUAGGAAAAGCAUUAAAAAUUACGUUCCCAUAUGAAAACCACUGAUACAAUUCAUAAUAAUAGUUUCGGAUGAAAUAGACUAAGAAAAAAAGUAUAAGUAGUAAGGCUACAUUGCAUGUUUUUAUUUGUUGAUAAUGAUUUGAUUAACUCAAAAAAAUGCUGCAGGACUUGAGUGGAAGUAACACUUGUACUACAGCACCAGCAACAUAUCCUCAAGUUGCGAACAUGAUCCAUGGAAGUAUGCCUGAGGUGUACAAAAUAUAUCUGCACCAAAUGCUUUACAGUUUUAUAAACUGACUACUAAAAGCAGACCAGAAAGCUUUCAUCUAACAGAGCUAACAGGCAUCCAGGAAGGAAUUACAAAGUUUCUUGCACAUACAGUCAGAUGAUGACUUGUACUAUCUGUAUUGAUAUUAAAGAGCAGAUUAACAAAAGAAUUUCAAGGAAAAAGAAAAAUAAAGGUUGAGAUUGAUACCUUAUGACCGUUCUUUGGAUAUGGGGCAGUGCCACACCUCCUGCAACACGCACAAAAGAACACGCAUAAAGAAGUCUCUGCAGCUCAUGGGGGAGCAUAAUAACUCUCUGCCACAAAGCAAAGAGUUACACCCCAUGCCAUGACCAUCUUGCACCCAUAAUAAUGCACCAGAAAUCCUUCAACUAUGGGUAGCAUGAGGUAAUGCCAAAGGAGACAUGACUGUGCUGAGUGACUCCUAUAAAAUCAGAGAACAGAAGACAGUUCUAAUGUCUAAAGCACAUGCCUACAGGAAGAAAAACCUAAUGACCUCGAAAAGAAUAAUUAAUCAACAAAAUUGUCACAACUGAGGUUGAAGCCUCAAAUCACUAAUAAACAAACAAGCAAUCAAAAAACAAAAGCAAUCCAAUACCAGCACAUUAAAAUUGUUGUGCCUACAGUACCAGGCUCAAAAGUUGCUUUAGAAACAAAAAUAGUUAGCCGAAGCAAAUUUCCUUCAAAUGAAAUCAGUGAACUGGUCUUUUCUGGCCUGAGCUCACAGCUAUAAAAGACUCUCACCUUCUUGGUGAAUUAAAUCAAACUGUUGCCAUUAGAAAAUGCAACAUCAUGGUGAAACAGCAUUUGGCACCAUAUGGUGAUCAGGGCGGGCAUGCACAAGUCUACCGAACGGACACAGAUUCGACAUGGAAAGAGAGAGCCCUCAUCCUACACUGUGAUUAAUGUUAUAGGCUAUCUUAACUGUCACUCUCAGCUUUUUCGUUGUCCCAUGCAAAAUUAAAUUUUAAAAAAAACAAAGAAAGAUGAUAAGGUAUCUGAACUUUGCUAAGUGUAAUCAAUCUUAUUUAUUCUUUUCUUGCGAAUGCUCCACAUGAAAUCCAACAGUGACAUACUUGACCAUCCCUUCGAAUCGCCCUCUGGCCCAUACUUGGCUAAAGAUUUUCCUCAUAUUUGGCUACCAAUGUUGCAUUAUAUUCCCACAUGCAGAAUGAAAAUUAGAAAGGAAAGCUUGCUUUUUCCCAGCAAAAAAAAUGAAAAGCUUGCUUGCCUUUUCUUGACAAAUUUUCACUUAAUUUAAAUCAAGCCCGUAAAAUACAAGAAAAUAAAGGGAAAAUAAAGGAAAAAAAACAAGCAGCAAGAACGACGCUUGAUUCAUGGUACCCAUAAUGCUGACCGUGACUGCAUCAAUAUCAUCUCUUUCUCCACCAUCUACUCGGAUAAAGCCACCAAUCCUGCAUCAUUUCCCUUUCCGAUUGUUUUCUUCAUAGAAAAACCCGUCGAAUCAAGAUGAUAAAUCAAGAAACAAAAGAAAAGAAUAAAGAAUCAAGACCCGAGAAGCUAGAACCCUCCAAGAGUCCAAGAAAACCCUAGCCGGAGCAACAAACCUAUAAUUUCCACCGUACGAAAUCAAUACAACAAGUGAAACAAGAACCAAAACCCUAGGAGUACCAAGACUCAAACCCCUAGGAGGACCAAGAAUCAAAACCCUAGGAGGACCAAGAAACGCACAGAAAAAGAAGGAAAAGAAAGAAUGGAGGGAGGGAGGAAGAGGGAGGAGGAGAGACCGAGAAAAAGGUAGUUCUAGUCGGCGAACCAGUUGUAGAGCACUGCAAUCUUGACUCAAGGGCGGCUAUACCUCUCGUCCACCGCUCCGUUAGGGCCAUCUUCCUUCCUUCAUUCCUUCCUUCCUUCAUCUCCAAUCGCUCCCCCUUCCUCGCUCUCCCAGUCUCAACCGACGCUCCCGUUCGCGCUGUCAGAAGGAAGAUAUUUAUAGAGAGGCGAAGGCGGUGGGUCCUCCGGAGAUCCGUUGAUGCCAGCCUGCCAUGCGUUAAAUCUCGCGCACAUAACGUCUCUCUUUUCUGGUGUUAUAUGUAAUCCCGUCCGUCUGUUUAUGGAGUCGCGUGCUGGGUGUCGCGAAACCGAUGAUGUUAGCAGGUUGUACUCACGUUAGAGCUAUAUGAAAUGAGUAACCGCUUUUACCAAAAAAAAAGAAGUGAUGUUAUGUGCCAACUCAUUGGAUUUCAAAUCCGCCAUAGCGUGCAUGGCAACUAGCAAUCUCCGCUACGGUGAACUCGGAAUAACUACCAAUGUAAGAUAUAAAUCUCGGAAUAAAGGUAUGAAUAUGCUGGCCAUAUGAAGGUAUGAGCCGGUCUGUGCCGUGCUCAAUGUGUGUUGCGGGCUCGAGUAGUCGUAUUUAAAAAAGAUUCGACUGCAGUGAUUGGUUGGAUCCAGCGGGCACCGGCAGCGUAGAUAGGUGCCACCUCUUGUUUCGAGACAUACAGGCCAUGAUUAGUGGCGGCAUGGCGUUCCAGACUAAGUGUGUUUAUAGAGAGGCUAAUGAAGCCACGGAUUGGGUGGCAUCGUAUGUAGCCGAUCACUUCAGAGAAGCUCUAUAGAUUGGGGAGAGAAAAUUGCCUAGAUCAUUCCGGAUUUGCUAUUAUUUCAGUUUUCCUUACACACAGUUGAAUUUUCUUUGCAUGCAGUUAAGUUAAGAGUUAACUACUCAAAAAAGAGUUAACUGAUGUCAAACUUUUUGCAACAUUGAGCCUUCUUAACUUAAAUGUGUGCAGAAAAAAUUUAUUUAUGUUCCAAGAUGAUUAAUUGCAUGCCAGGCUAGAUUAAGUGUGUUCCAAGCUUAUUUAACUGUGUGCGGAGAAGAUUUAACUUUGUGCCAUGCUAGAUUAAGUGUUCAAACAUUGAUUAACUACGUGCCAAGCUUACUUAAAUAUGUACCAUGCUAUAUUACCUGCGUACUAAAUUUACUAACCUAAUUGCAAUGGUGAGUUAACAGUGUUCGAGGUUAUAUGAAUUGAGUUCCAAGCUUACUUAACUAAUUGCAAUGGUAGCAAAUCCACUGUACCUAUCAAUAUCAUAAAGAUUAGAUUAUUUGCCACUCACUCAUUAUUUUCUUUUCUUUCCUUUUCUUCUUUUCUCACCCAUGGGGCUAGGUUAGGUUAAUUGGAUCUGUUCCAUUUUUCGGGUCGAGUCUUGGUUUACUAAAUUUAGAUUCGACCUGAUCUGACCCGAUCCGUUUGAAUUUUGGACAAUUAUGGAUUUCCAACCCUACGACCUGACCUGACUCAAACUAAACCCGAUAAACUAUUUGGGCCUGAAAAGGCAUAAAUUCAUGUUGUUCUCUAAGUUAUGCCUUAUGACUGAUGUGCAUGUCCUGUAUAUAAGUAGUAUUUUGCAUCUUCAGUUUACAGCUCCAAUUCAAAAUAUAGAAUGAUUCAUGCAGUUUCAUUGCUUGGUUUUGAAGGCUUAUUAAAGAAUAAUAAUCAUUUGUAGCAACAAAGUAACAACUAGGCCUCGAAAAGGCCUAAGUAUGAAGACAUAGGUUGUUCCCCAGAUAAUUUGAUUUAAUAAGUGUUGCAUGCUGUUUUUUUAGCCAGUUAACUUUAUCUGGUUUGUAGUUUUUUGUCCUUCAAUAUCUAAAAGAAAAGUUAUUGAAGCUGCUUUCUGUUCAGUCAUACUCUUUCAGAUUUAUUUGGACCUGACUCGACCCCGAAUUUUUUGGAUUGGACUGAGUUAUAUGUGGACCGAGUCUGACCCGAAUGACCUGUUGGGUCAGAAAUUUUAACAAUGGAUUCGACCCAACUCGAUCCAAUUUUCUAUUGGAUUGGGUCUAGGUCCAGUAUUAAGAUUCGAACAUGACACCGAUUUGGGUUGGGAACACUCAUAAUGCGGUCCGACCCAAUCCAAUUGCACUCCUAUGCUCAGUCCUUCUCCUUGUCUUCUCCCUUGCUGUCUUGCACUCUUCUUCAUUUUUUUUUAUUUUUUUAUUUCUCCCACCAUAAGCAAUAGUAAGGCUGACGCCUCGAAGAAAGCCGGCCGGUAGACCAUUCUCCCCAGACUCGGCAGCCGUUACCUUUGGUUGUGUCUGACGUCCAGUAGGGCCCGGACCGCCAGACGUAGAGAUGGAGCUCGUCCAAACGGAGUAUUUUGUUGCCAGUUGGGUUGCAAAAGCUCGUUCGGACAAUUUGUCGAACAGGAGGGAUGCGGCUAUGGCUGCCCCCCAGCAAGAAUAUAAAAGCGAGCAACAAAAACAGGUUUCGAGAUUUUUUUCUUCUUUCUUUCAAUUAUUUUUAAAAGUAACAUCGCUACAGCAUCAGAGAUCCGAAUCAACCAUACGGCCGUUUACAGCAUAGGAUCGAGGUUCUUAAAAAUAACUUUGCCUGAAAUCGCCAGCAACCGACUUAUCUUAUCCAAAACAAAACUAGACAAAAGUAGAAGGUGCAUCAAAGAUUAUAGUGGGAAACUGUAGGAAUAACGACGCCCAGAAUAUCAGCACCAUGGAUUAGAUUAUUUGCCACUCACUCAUUAUUUUCUUUUCUUUCCUUUGCUUCUUUUCUUUCUUUCUUCUUUUCUUUUUUUCUUUUUUUUCUUUUAUUUUCUUUGAAUUUCUUUUCUUCUUUAUUUAUUUAUUUAUUAUUUUAUUUCAUUACAAUAUAUUUAUUUAUUAUCUUAUUUAUUUAUUUAUAUGUUCAUUCAUAUAUAUAUAUAUAUAUAUGGAUUUAUUUAUUUAUUUAUUUUUCUUAUUCUUUCUUUAUUUUAUUUUAUUUUAUUUUAUUUUCUUUCUUUUUUUUGCCUUUUUUUUCUUAUUUUCUCCAUUGUGAGGCCGGUGGCACCAAAAUGGGGCCGGGCCAUGGCGGCCGCAAGAGGAGGCCCAGCCGCGGCCAGCUGCGGCUUUAUUUAUUUAUUUAUAAUUAUUUUAUUUUUUAUUACAAUAUAUUAUUUAUUUAUUUAUUCAUUUAUUCAUAUGUAUAUAAAUCAAGAUGAUAAAUCAAGAAAUAAAAGAAAAGAAUAAAGAAUCAAGACCCUAGAAGCUAGAACCCUCCAAGAGAGCCGGCCGCCAGACCAUUCUCCUCAGACCCGACAGCCGUUACCUUCGGCUGAGUCCGACGUCCAAUAGGGUCCGGACCGCAAGACGUAGAGAUGGGGCUCGUCCAAACCGAGUAUUUUGUUGCCGGUUGGGUUGCAAAAGCUCGUUCAGACAAUUUGUCGAACAGGAGGGAUGCAGUCAUUUGGGGCUAUGGUUGCCCCCCAGCUAGAAUAUAGAAGCGAGCAACAAAAACAGGUUGGUCGAGAUUUUUUUCUUCUUUGUUUCAAUUAUUUUUAAAAGUAACAUCGCUACAGCAUCAGAGAUCCGAAUCAACUAUACGGCCGUUUGCAGCAGAGGAUCGAGAUUCUUAAAAAUAACUUUCCCUGAAAUCGCCAGCAACCGACUUGACUUAUCCAAAACAAAACUAGACAAAAGUAGAAGGUGCAUCAAAGAUUAUAGUAGGAAACUGUAGGAAUAACGACGCACAGAAUAUCACCGCCAUGGAUUACCCAACC